RNAcentral lists this ribosomal RNA (508 nucleotides) under uncultured bacterium. RNAcentral's name for it is "bacterial SSU rRNA". It matches the Rfam family "Bacterial small subunit ribosomal RNA", at positions 28 to 526 of the family's 1533-position model. The record is from RNAcentral.
GAUGAACGCUAGCGGCAGGCUAACACAUGCAAGUCGAGGGGCAGCGCGAAUAUUGCUUGCAAUAUUUGGCGGCGACCGGCGCACGGGUGCGUAACGCGUAUGCAACCUACCCUAUAUAGGAGAAUAACCGGGAGAAAUCCCGACUAAUACUCCGUAUGUAACGAAAAGGCAUCUUUUCGUUAUGAGAGAUUUAUCGAUAUAGGAUGGGCAUGCGUGACAUUAGCUAGUUGGUGAGGUAACGGCUCACCAAGGCAACGAUGUCUAGGGGUUCUGAGAGGAAGGUCCCCCACACUGGUACUGAGACACGGACCAGACUCCUACGGGAGGCAGCAGUGAGGAAUAUUGGUCAAUGGACGAAAGUCUGAACCAGCCAUGCCGCGUGCAGGAUGACGGCUCUAUGAGUUGUAAACUGCUUUUAUAUAAGAAUAAAACCCCCUACGUGUAGGGGGCUUGAAUGUAUUAUAUGAAUAAGGAUCGGCUAACUCCGUGCCAGCAGCCGCGGUAAUAC